AUUGAACGCUGGCGGCAUGCCUUACACAUGCAAGUCGAACGGCAGCGCGGGGCAACCUGGCGGCGAGUGGCGAACGGGUGAGUAAAAUAUCGGAACAUACCCUAGAGUGGGGGAUAACGUAGCGAAAGUUACGCUAAUACCGCAUACGCACUAAGGUGAAAGGGGGGAGUCUUCGGACCUCAUGCUCAUGGAGUGGCCGAUAUCUGAUUAGCUAGUUGGUGAGGUAAGGCUCACCAAGGCGACGAUCAGUAGCUGGUUUGAGAGAACGACCAGCCACACUGGAACUGAGACACGGUCCAGACUCCUACGGGAGGCAGCAGUGGGG
This 325-nucleotide ribosomal RNA is filed under the name uncultured bacterium. RNAcentral's name for it is "bacterial SSU rRNA". It matches the Rfam family "Bacterial small subunit ribosomal RNA", at positions 30 to 359 of the family's 1533-position model. The record is from RNAcentral.